Molecule: ribosomal RNA, 253 nt
Filed under: uncultured bacterium
Lineage: Bacteria
Description: partial 16S ribosomal RNA
Rfam family: Bacterial small subunit ribosomal RNA
Source: RNAcentral
GACGAGGGGUCCUAGCGUUGUUCGGAAUUACUGGGCGUAAAGCGCAUGUAGGCGGCUUAUCAAGUCAGAUGUGAAAGCCUCGGGCUCAACCUGAGAAGUGCAUUUGAUACUGUUAAGCUUGAAUAUGGGAGAGGGUAGUAGAAUUCCUGGUGUAGUGGUGAAAUACGUAGAUAUCAGGAGGAAUACCGGUGGCGAAGGCGGCUACCUGGCCCAAUAUUGACGCUGAGAUGCGAAAGCGUGGGGAUCAAACAGG